GAUUUUGAUCCCAAAUUGCAUGUAUUAAGUCAUUAUUAAUUUAUCUCACAUUUCUUAUUAAUCAAAGACAUAGAUAGCUGCCCCUCAGAGCUUCUGAUCUGUGUGACCAGCUGGGAGCUGCACGUGGUUGACAUAAUUCCAGCCAGAGGCAAAGGAACUCCGCAAUGUGUGUGGUCUGGGUGGCCUGAGAAGGUCUAAAUGUAGAUGCAUCGUCCUCCUUUUCUUUUCAUCGGCCAUGAGCCUUGCCUGGGUGGGGGCUGCUUUCACAGUCACUCACUGAUGGGCCAGAGGCUGAGUUUUCAGUGCCAGGCUCUAGCAAGGGUCCCCGUGCGGGUCCCAGACUCCUCCUCCCACAGAACUCACUCCAAAUAGAUGGCAUGCACCAGCACCACGCAGAAGAGCGUGGGGUUCACCUAGUGGGACGUGGCAGAGCUGUCUUCAUGCGGGUCCCACAGGCUCUGGCUGGAGAUUGCCAUGUUGUCCUACCCCUCGCUCCUGAUGCUGACAGAGCACACUAGCUUGUAGCCGGGCCGGGUGACAGCCGUGACGAGGUCCCAGGUCGCGGUGCUCAGCACCACUGCCAGAGAUUAACCUGGCUUCCAAGUGGCUCAGCCUAUAUGUGCCCUGGGGCCCAUGGCCCUGACUCCCCUCGCUCUCCCUGCACCCCUAGGCCACUGGCCCCCACCUGCUCCUGGAUGAUGCUGACGGGGCCGUGGUGAGUCAGCUGGGGCUGAGACAGUGUUCUCAAGGAUGUGCGCUUCUGCAAGUGAAGAUGAGCGUGGAGGGGCAGCAGGAGUCUCUGUCAAGAAGUGACAACCCUCAGAGAGCUGCCCCCGAACCUCCAGAAUGUCUCCACUGGCUCCAGCUGGCCAGCCCUGAAGCCUGUCCAAGUCUCCCCGUGUUAACAGAACAGAGCGACAGCCUGCCUCCCCUCACGGCUGCAGAGGAGCGCCCAGCCAUCGCAGCCUCUGGCUCCCUGGAAUGCCGCCCCCUGCCUCCCUCCCCUCGCCCUCCACCCACUGCCGUCCUGCACCCAGCACGUGCUCUCCAUAAGUCCCUGGUGUACAGAGGUCAUUUUUCAGCAGCGUUGGAUGCCGUUGUCAAUUCCCUCCUUUCGGAGCCUCAGUUUCCUCAAUGGCAUAAUUCCUACCUCACUAGAUUACCCUGAGGACUAAGUAACUCCUUCAUUCAUGUUUUCGGCAAACAUUUCUGAACACCCGCUUGUGUGCAGGCUUUCUGCUGGGCUCUUGAGGACCCUGACUUUGGAGAUGGCCACAGUCUCCCGGGGGCCACAGAUGCUGGUAUAAACAAUGUGAAGAGCCUGGCACUCUGCCUGUGACAUAGUAGACACUCAGUGUGUGUGGGGCUCUGUCGUGUCUUUCUGCCCCCUCUGGGCCUCAGUUUCCAUAGCCAGAAAUGGAUAGGAAGAGGGGGUUGGACUUGCUCUCUGAAGUCCCCUCCAGCCCUGGUGGCCCAAGGCCCUGGGCCCCACUUCUCAGGCUGCCUCGUGUGUCCCCUACCCCCAGCCCGUCCCUCUCACCUUGAGCUCCCAGGUGAGCCUGUGAGCAGGGAGGAGGCUGCCGAGGCCAAGCAUGGCAGCUUCUACUUCUGGACUCUCUGAAGCUUGGCUGCUCCCUUCUUAACGGGGGACCUGAUGAGGGAGCACUGCUCCCCUGCCCAGGAUGGGCUGUGGCCUGAGAGGAACAUAGGUGGGCAGGUUGGAGGCAGGAGGGACCUGGCUUCUCAAGGAGGAAGGCUGCAGGGUGCUUGGCCCACUCAGCCACUCCAGGCAUCCCCAACCCUCGGCCCCAGUCGCGCCCAGUGCCGACCUCCUCUUCCUCCCUACACAUGGUCUCGGCAAGGGUAGAACCAGUGUCGGGGUGGGAAGGCAGGCCUCUGAGCUGGUCAGGCGUAGGUUCAAGUGUCUGCUCUGUGCACGAGCAGCUGUGUGAUCUCGGGCAAAUCACCUCACUUCUCUGAACACCACUUUCCUCCUCCCUAAGCUGGGGACACUUCUAUUCCAUCUCUCAACAGAUAUCCCCAAGUGCUUAAUCUAUGCUGUGGACUGAAAGACAGCGGCAACAGCGUGCAGACCCCUGCUGUCCCAGUAGUGGCGUGCUGGGGGAGACAGAUGGCUGACAGCCAGGGCCUCACAGGGCAGUCCUGAUCCAGGGCUGUUUGGAAAUGUUGGGGACACUAACACCUCCUCACAGAGCUGCGAGGCUCGAGUGGGAUAAGGUGCACAAGGUAGCACGCGUUGGCCUGGCAGAUGGUGGGUGCUCAAUCAGUGCUUGUUGGAUAAAUGAACCAAUAAAAGCACUUCUCUCUGAGCCCUGAUUACCAGUGAAAUGGAGCUGAGGGUCCUUUCCUUGGAAAGUUGUUAUAAAGGUUUCUAACUUUGUUUAAAUUAAUGAAUUUAAAUUAAUAAAUAGAGCUUACUACA
RNAcentral lists this long non-coding RNA (2443 nucleotides) under Equus caballus (horse). RNAcentral describes it as "lncRNA (ENSECAG00000057653.1)". The record is from RNAcentral. Lineage: Eukaryota; Metazoa; Chordata; Mammalia; Perissodactyla; Equidae.